UACGGGGGGAGCAAGCGUUGUUCGGAUUUACUGGGCGUAAAGGGCGCGUAGGCGGCGCAACAAGUCAGUUGUGAAAUCUCUGGGCUUAACCCAGAGCGGUCAACUGAUACUGUCGUGCUAGAGUGCGGAAGGGGCAACUGGAAUUCUCGGUGUAGCGGUGAAAUGCGUAGAUAUCGAGAGGAACACCUGCGGCGAAGGCGGGUUGCUGGGCCGACACUGACGCUGAGGCGCGAAAGCUAGGGGAGCGUACGGG
Molecule: ribosomal RNA, 253 nt
Filed under: uncultured bacterium
Lineage: Bacteria
Description: partial 16S ribosomal RNA
Rfam family: Bacterial small subunit ribosomal RNA
Source: RNAcentral